AGUCAGCUGAGCAGCACCGAGCUCCUGCCAGUGGAAGUGCUGGUGGAAUUCGGUUCCGAUUUCAGCCCCGACUCUCUGCUCCUUCCUCGUGCCCCGUUCUGGCUGUCGGCAGCUCCUCAGCAUCACACCGUGGUCAGGAACAUCUCAAUUCAUUUUCAGACAUCCUCUUUUAGCUGUAGCCCUCUCUUUGUGUUCAAAAACCGCGCCCUCUCCCAGCGGGAUCACUUCUGUUUUAUGAGUUCAAAAUGCUGGGGAGUUGCAUCAUGAGCACGUCAGGCUUCUUCUGCACAGGCAGCAGUGAGGAAAGGCUGGGGAACCGUCUGCCCCCUCCCAGCAGCUCUGCAGGACGGCUCUGGGCUCGGGGAAAUCCAUCUUGGACCUGGCUGGGCUUGCUUAUGAAGUACAAUCUGUCUGAAGUAGCCACGAUGAGGAAGAGACCUCGCAGCAGAAGGGAUGUUACAGAUGAAGCAGCUGAUUAAAGCCUGUCCUGUACCUUCAGAAUGAUUUUUGUGGACAUGGUAAAGAGGAAAAGCAUGCAGCUUAAUGUUUGCUAAAAAGAAAUGCUUGAGAGGGAAAGAAAAAUCACUGUCUUUGUGAGAAGUGCACUGUUCACUAGUAAUAAUAAUAAUAAUAAUAAUAUAAUUAUUAUGUAAUAGUUGUUGAAUAAUAGUUGUUACUGUUGUGUUGUGCCUGUCUCUCCAUCCCAGGGCUCCAUGGAACUCUGGUGAUCCC
RNAcentral lists this long non-coding RNA (732 nucleotides) under Junco hyemalis (dark-eyed junco). RNAcentral's name for it is "lncRNA (ENSJHYG00000008507.1)". Lineage: Eukaryota; Metazoa; Chordata; Aves; Passeriformes; Passerellidae. The record is from RNAcentral.